GGAUACUGGGAAGAAAAGAUAAUGAGUGUAGAAAUGAUGAGAAAUAACAGUAAGAAAUUAGUAUUAUUUUUCAUUACAAUCGAAACUUCUAACAAUAUUCAGUGUAAAGGCUUACUAUUUUUGACAGUUUUUCUGAUCUAAACCAAUCAGUCAUGAAUUGCAUCUUGCCAUGAGUUCCAAACUGCAUAUUGCACAUUUCCAGUGGCAUUAAGGCUUUGCUUUUAAAAACCAAAUGAUAUCACCUAGAAAAUACUAUCACUAAAACAUUCCUUGUUAGAAGCUAUGAGAUACCUGACAUCUUUGUACUGAUGGAUAUAUAUUUUGUGAAAUUGCUGUGGAUCAAGAUCAUCAUCCAUAGAAGACAUAUCGGCAAUCAUCUCCAAGGCAACAAAGCGGGGCAGGAUAGACAGCACCAAACGCUCCUGAGGAGGAAACAAAAGCUGACCUCAGUCUCUAGUUUCAUGCGGCCUUCAAUGCAGCGGCGUGUCUCAAGAAAGGCUUGUCUUUGGGACCGAUCAGUCAGAAUGCAACAAAAGAAAGUCAUGGGCAAAAUACCUACACAAUCUAUAUUCCAACUUUGCGAUGAAGGAGAGAAGAGAGAAGAACACGUUUUUCUGAUUCAUUGAGCUGAGAAGUGAUCAACAGAUUGCCACGCCGAAAGCGAGAAGGGAGCUCAAGUUGCGCAAAUUGGAUUACUUACUCAGCACUCAUGCCCU
This is a long non-coding RNA of Carassius carassius (crucian carp), 716 nucleotides long. RefSeq lists it as uncharacterized. The record is from RefSeq and is a predicted model, not a curated record. Lineage: Eukaryota; Metazoa; Chordata; Actinopteri; Cypriniformes; Cyprinidae. The transcript is spliced from 3 exons.